CAGCAGCCGCGGUAAGACAGAGGAUGUAAGCGUUAUCCAGAAUGAUUAGGCGUAAAGCGUCUGUAGGUGGCUUUUCAAGUCCACCGUCAAAUCCUCGAGCUCAACCCUCGAUAGGCAGUGGAAACUACCAAGAUGGAGUACGGUAGGGGCAGAGGGAAUUUCCGGUGGAGCGGUGAAAUGCGUUGAGAUCGGAAAGAACACCAAUGGUGAAAGCACUCUGCUGGGCCGACACUGACACUGAGAGACGAAAGCUAGGGGAGCAAAUGGGAUUAGAUACCCGGGUAGUCCCUGUCUCUUAUAC
This 301-nucleotide ribosomal RNA is filed under the name uncultured bacterium. RNAcentral's name for it is "partial 16S ribosomal RNA". It matches the Rfam family "Bacterial small subunit ribosomal RNA", at positions 509 to 807 of the family's 1533-position model. The record is from RNAcentral.